RNAcentral lists this long non-coding RNA (1283 nucleotides) under Bos grunniens (domestic yak). RNAcentral describes it as "lncRNA (ENSBGRG00000013583.1)". Lineage: Eukaryota; Metazoa; Chordata; Mammalia; Artiodactyla; Bovidae. The record is from RNAcentral.
GUAUACAUUUGUAUGAAGCACCUGACUUUAAUAAAAGUCAGGACUGCUGUCCCCACGUGACUUUUGUAUAACAUCUCAGUGUAUAAAACAGACUCUGGAAAAUAAAGAAUGGGGAUCAGUUUCUCGAAAUACUGGUCUCCCAUGUCUCUCUCUCUCUCACUCUGGCUGAGUCUCCAUCUGGAGCGUGGAACCCACCAAGCUUACUAAUUUUGCCUGGGCUUCUAAGAUCCGACCGGGGAGGCCUCAGUGUCUCCUCUCCUUCGGGAGAGCGGAGGGCGCCUGCGGCCUCGUAAGUGGUGCAAGCUUCUUGUCUUGAAGUUUUAUUAGUCUCCCGCGUAAACCAAGCUACUCAGCCUCUUUUCUCCACUGAAUUUUCCUACUGAGCAUUCCUUAUUCUAUUACUCUUUAUAUGUUUAAUUAAUAUCUAAUUGAAGCUAUUGUAUCCUGACCCUCGCCGACGCCAUCCCUGCUUCGAAUACCCUGGAUCAGCCGGGGCUGGACCCCAGCACACCAACAGCUUGACUGUUCUUGGAGCUUUUAAACAAUGAGUUGAUUGUGGGCAAACAGAAGGCAAGGCACAUGAGAGAUAAUUAGCUUCUGUAUCUGGUGCUGGCUAAUAAGUAAAUAAUUUUCACAUAAACAUAGAAACCACUAAAUGUUAACUGCGUUUAUUUUUUUUAAUAGUUGUAAAAUGUAAUAAAAUGAGAUUUUCAGAAGCAUCUUGGUGACUGAGUAGAACAGCGUAAUUUAAAAACAAUUAAGUCACUGCCGCUCGGCUGUGUUGGAAGAUCCCACCUCACAUCGCCUGUCCCACCAGCUGCUGGCGGGUGGAGUGACCUUUCAUUAAAGACGUUUCCUUGUGUUUCUUCUCGUGGAAGCCAGAAGCCAGGAAGAGCACCCUGCUUAGAAAAGAGAGCGUUUGGUUCAUACAGUCUGCUUUGGUUUAUUUCAACAGGUAAAAAGUACAUUUUCUAUUCCCACCAGUGUUCAGUUGCUCCACUUUGGAAAUACUCUUCAGAUAAAGUAUCUGUAUGCCCGUGUGGUCAGCAGCCCCAAGCCACGCCAUCCCCUUGAUGACCGUCUGCUGGCCACUCCCCACAGGAUCAGCGUCUGCCAUAUCCCCGGCUGUGGGUCACAAUCUGAUGCUCUGAACUGAACCAAGGCAGCGAAAAGUAUCUUCUUAGAAAAUACCAAAAUGUAGCUAACUUGUGCUCUCUUCAUAAGGCUUGCAAAUGGGUAAUUAAAUAAGCAGAAUAUAACUCAUAAGCCAAAAAAAGUGCAUU